This is a long non-coding RNA of Daphnia carinata, 615 nucleotides long. RefSeq lists it as uncharacterized. The transcript has 2 exons. The record is from RefSeq and is a predicted model, not a curated record. NCBI's taxonomy places the organism in Eukaryota, Metazoa, Arthropoda, Branchiopoda, Diplostraca, Daphniidae.
ACCAAUACCUGGCACGUCGUUCCUGUCAACUGGCCUACUCUCUGAAUGUCCAGUCGUUUUAGUAGAGCACAAGAAAACGUUUGGACUCCUUUAUCAGGACACAUUACUCAACUGAGCCUUGCAACACUUAUGCACUCUAAUCAGCGGCGUGGAUCAGAAAGGGGAAUACCACAUACCCAUGCGAUGUCGACUUGUCUUUUAAUAGAAUUAGGUUUAUGAUCACAGCAAGAUGCGAGAAUCGUCAAAACUGCCCCAAUUUAUCGCCUCUCAUAUCGGCUGGAACACGUAGCCAAGUUAUUUUAUGAAUUGCUGAUGCUGACAAGUUCGACAUCAAACAAUAAAGUGGCGCCUGUUUGAACAGAUAAGGUAUUAUUGUAACGCAAACUAUUUUUAUGGCAUUGUAGAAAUAGGUACCUCCAGGGAUGACGUUACCAGCUCCUCUCUGGCCAUAACCUAACGAACUCGGGAUCGUUAACUUGCGUUUUUCACCUGGACACAUAUCAGUUAGACCCAGAUCCCAGCCUUUAAUCACCUGACCUGCACCAAGGCGGAAGCGGAAUGGUUGGUUCCUGUCGAAGCUGUUGACGGUACAAAAAUAAAUUAGACUGCUUGAAA